GAUGAAGAACGCAGCGAAAUGCGAUAAGUAGUGUGAAUUGCAGAAUUCAGUGAAUCAUCGAAUCUUUGAACGCACAUUGCGCCCCUUGGUAUUCCAUGGGGCAUGCCUGUUCGAGCGUCAUUUGUACCUUCAAGCUCUGCUUGGUGUUGGGUGUUUGUCUCGCCUCUGCGUGUAGACUCGCCUCAAAACAAUUGGCAGCCGGCGUAUUGAUUUCGGAGCGCAGUAGAUCUCGCGCUUUGCACUCAUAACGACGACGUCCAAAAGUACAUUUUUACACUCUUGACCUCGGAUCAGGUAGGGAUACCCGCUGAACUUAAGCAUAUCAAUAAGCGGAGGA
This 337-nucleotide unclassified non-coding RNA is filed under the name soil metagenome. RNAcentral's name for it is "partial contains 5.8S ribosomal RNA, internal transcribed spacer 2, and large subunit ribosomal RNA". The stretch from base 1 to 120 matches the Rfam family "5.8S ribosomal RNA", at positions 35 to 154 of the family's 154-position model. The record is from RNAcentral.